GGGUGAGUAACACGUGGGUGAUCUGCCCUGCACUUUGGGAUAAGCCUGGGAAACUGGGUCUAAUACCGAAUAUGACCGCAUGCUUCAUGGUGUGUGGUGGAAAGCUUUUGCGGUGUGGGAUGGGCCCGCGGCCUAUCAGCUUGUUGGUGGGGUAAUGGCCUACCAAGGCGACGACGGGUAGCCGGCCUGAGAGGGUGUCCGGCCACACUGGGACUGAGAUACGGCCCAGACUCCUACGGGAGGCAGCAGUGGGGAAUAUUGCACAAUGGGCGCAAGCCUGAUGCAGCGACGCCGCGUGAGGGAUGACGGCCUUCGGGUUGUAAACCUCUUUCAGCAGGGACGAAGCGCAAGUGACGGUACCUGUAGAAGAAGCACCGGCCAACUACGUGCCAGCAGCCGCGGUAAUACGUAGGGUGCGAGCGUUGUCCGGAAUUACUGGGCGUAAAGAGCUCGUAGGUGGUUUGUCGCGUUGUUCGUGAAAACUCACAGCUCAACUGUGGGCGUGCGGGCGAUACGGGCAGACUUGAGUACUGCAGGGGAGACUGGAAUUCCUGGUGUAGCGGUGGAAUGCGCAGAUAUCAGGAGGAACACCGGUGGCGAAGGCGGGUCUCUGGGCAGUAACUGACGCUGAGGAGCGAAAGCGUGGGGAGCGAACAGGAUUAGAUACCCUGGUAGUCCACGCCGUAAACGGUGGGUACUAGGUGUGGGUUUCCUUCCUUGGGAUCCGUGCCGUAGCUAACGCAUUAAGUACCCCGCCUGGGGAGUACGGCCGCAAGGCUAAAACUCAAAGAAAUUGACGGGGGCCCGCACAAGCGGCGGAGCAUGUGGAUUAAUUCGAUGCAACGCGAAGAACCUUACCUGGGUUUGACAUG
This 872-nucleotide ribosomal RNA is filed under the name uncultured bacterium. RNAcentral's name for it is "bacterial SSU rRNA". It matches the Rfam family "Bacterial small subunit ribosomal RNA", at positions 104 to 988 of the family's 1533-position model. The record is from RNAcentral.